RNAcentral lists this long non-coding RNA (605 nucleotides) under Cricetulus griseus (Chinese hamster). Its description in RNAcentral is "lncRNA (ENSCGRG00000025931.1)". The record is from RNAcentral. Lineage: Eukaryota; Metazoa; Chordata; Mammalia; Rodentia; Cricetidae.
AUGCAGAGAAUGAGUGGAAGUCUCUUUGUAUGGACAUGUAUUUCUACAAUACCCAUGAAUGUUUUCCUUCUGGCCACUGAAGAGGAGGAUUCAUCUUUAUCUUCACUGUCAUCAAAGGAUAAGAUUAAUUAUGCCACAACACUGCUGUUCAGAGCUGCUGUUCUCUUCUGUCUGAACAAAGGCAAUGCAACAUGGACUCCUCACAAAUCACAAGUCACUGAAGAGCUUCAGUCAAUUCAUGGAAAUAACAUUGCGGCUGAGAAGCAAAGGUAGUGUGAGGAGAUGAAGUGAAAUGACUCCUGGAAGAAUCUGUGCUAGACCCAGAAAUUACCCAAACCAAAGGUAAGCUGUGGACUCUUCAAAUGCUCUGAGCUUCUGGCUUUAUGUUUUAGACAGGCAAAGGGUAUGUACUAAUAUGUAGGUAUGGGGUCAGAAGAAGAGAAUAUACUGUCCUUCCAAUAAAGUGGAAAAGAUUCUCUCACAUGCAGCAUUUAUGCUCCUUUUCAUCCUGACUAGAAAUAGAUCUUGCUAUGUUACCCAAGCUGGACAUGAAUUCACAACUGUGCUUCCUUAGCCCUCUAAAAGAUAGGAUAACCCAUGUGUAC